CUCUGUGCCAGCAGCCGCGGUAAUACAGAGAGUGCAAGCGUUAAUCGGAAUUACUGGGCGUAAAGCGCGCGUAGGUGGAUACUUAAGUCGGAUGUGAAAGCCCUGGGCUUAACCUGGGAAUUGCACCCGAUACUGGGUAUCUCGAGUAUGGUAGAGGGAAGUGGAAUUUCCGGUGUAGCGGUGAAAUGCGUAGAUAUCGGAAAGAACACCAGUGGCGAAGGCGGCUUCCUGGACCAAUACUGACACUGAGGUGCGAAAGCGUGGGGAGCAAACAGGAUUAGAGACCCUGGUAGUCCACGCCGUCAACGAUGAGAACUAGCUGUUGGAGAGUUUACUUUCUAGUAGCGAAGCUAACGCGUUAAGUUCUCCGCCUGGGGAGUACGGCCGCAAGGUUAAAACUCAAAGAAAUUGACGGGGGCCCGCACAAGCGGUGGAGCAUGUGGUUUAAUUCGAUGCAACGCGAAAAACCUUACCUAC
This 477-nucleotide ribosomal RNA is filed under the name Coxiella endosymbiont of Haemaphysalis bandicota. RNAcentral describes it as "bacterial SSU rRNA". It matches the Rfam family "Bacterial small subunit ribosomal RNA", at positions 501 to 978 of the family's 1533-position model. The record is from RNAcentral. Lineage: Bacteria; Pseudomonadati; Pseudomonadota; Gammaproteobacteria; Legionellales; Coxiellaceae.